RNAcentral lists this non-coding RNA (1626 nucleotides) under Saccharomyces cerevisiae (brewer's yeast). RNAcentral describes it as "ribosomal RNA". It matches the Rfam family "Bacterial small subunit ribosomal RNA". The record is from RNAcentral. Lineage: Eukaryota; Fungi; Ascomycota; Saccharomycetes; Saccharomycetales; Saccharomycetaceae.
UUUUAUAAGAAUAUGAUGUUGGUNNAGAUUAANNGCUAAAUAAGGACANGACANAUGCGAAUNANANGUUUAUUAUUGAUAAGAUAAUAAAUAUGUGGUGUAAACGUGAGNAAUNUUAUUAGGAAUUAAUGAACUAUAGAAUAAGNUAAAUANUUAAUAUNNUAUUAUAUAAAAAUAAUUUAUAUAAUAAAAAGGAUAUAUAUAUAAUAUAUAUUUAUCUAUAGUCANGNCAAUAAUGGUUUAGGUAGUAGGUUUANUAAGAGUUAAACCUAGCNAACGAUCCAUAAUCGAUAAUGAAAGUUAGAACGAUCANGUUGACUCUGAAAUAUAGUCAAUAUNUAUAAGAUACAGCAGUGAGGAAUAUUGGACAAUGAUCGAAAGAUUGAUCCAGUUACUUAUUAGGAUGAUAUAUNNNAAUAUUUUAUUUUAUUUAUAAAUAUUAAAUAUUUAUAAUAAUAAUAAUAAUAAUAUAUAUAUAUAAAUUGAUUNAAAANAAAAUCCAUAAAUAAUUAAAAUAAUGAUAUUAAUUACCAUAUAUAUUUUUAUAUGGAUAUAUAUAUUAAUAAUAAUAUUAAUUUUAUUAUUAUUAAUAAUAUAUUUUAAUAGUCCUGACUAAUAUUUGUGCCAGCAGUCGCGGUAACACAAAGAGGGCGAGCGUUAAUCAUAAUGGUUUNAAGGAUCCGUAGAAUGNANUAUAUAUUAUAAUUUAGAGUUAAUAAAANUAAUUAAAGAAUUAUAAUAGUAAAGAUGAAAUAAUAAUAAUAAUUAUAAGACUAAUAUAUGUGAAAAUAUUAAUUAAAUAUUAACUGACAUUGAGGGAUUAAAACUAGAGNAGCGAAACGGAUUCGAUACCCNNNUAGUUCUAGUAGUAAACUAUGAAUACAAUUAUUUAUAANAUAUAUUAUAUAUAAAUAAUAAAUGAAAAUGAAAGUAUUCCACCUGAAGAGUACGUUAGCAAUAAUGAAACUCAAAACAAUAGANGGUUACAGACUUAAGCAGNGGAGCAUGUUAUUUAAUUCGAUAAUCCACGACUAACCUUACNAUAUUUUGAAUAUUAUAAUAAUUAUNAUNAUUAUUAUAUUACAGGCGUUACAUUGUUGUCUUUAGUUCNNGCUGNAAAGUUUUAGAUUAAGUUCAUAAACGAACAAAACUCCAUAUAUAUAAUUUUAAUUAUAUAUAAUUUUAUAUUAUUUAUUAAUAUAAAGAAAGGAAUUAAGACAAANCAUAAUGAUCCUUAUAAUAUGGGUAAUAGACGUGNUAUAAUAAAAUGAUAAUAAAAUUAUAUAAAAUAUAUUUAAUUAUAUUUAAUUAAUAAUAUAAAACAUUUUAAUUUUUAAUAUAUUUUUUUNNUAUAUAUUAAUAUGAAUUAUAAUCUGAAAUUCGAUUAUAUGAAAAAAGAAUUGCUAGUAAUACGUAAAUUAGUAUGUUACGGUGAAUAUUCUAACUGUUUCGNACUAAUCACUCAUCACGCGUUGAAACAUAUUAUUAUCUUAUUAUUUAUAUAAUAUUUUUUAAUAAAUAUUAAUAAUUAUUAAUUUAUAUUUAUUUAUAUCAGAAAUAAUAUGAAUUAAUGCGAAGUUGAAAUACAGUUACNGUANGGGAACCUGNGGUGGGCUUAUAAAUAUC